AACGAGUUCACAUUCAAUUGUGCGAGGGAUUCUGCCUGCUCCUCGCUGAUCAUCUGACAUGAGCUCCUGCACCCUGCAAAACAUAAGAUAACAAAGGUGUGCAGUAAUAAAAAGCUGCAUGGCACCCGCCGGGGGACGCGACGAAACAGAAAUUUUACCACAAGAUAUUGAAUUUAAAUUAAGGUGACUUGCCGG
Long non-coding RNA from Tyto alba (common barn owl), 195 nucleotides. RefSeq lists it as uncharacterized. The record is from RefSeq and is a predicted model, not a curated record. NCBI's taxonomy places the organism in Eukaryota, Metazoa, Chordata, Aves, Strigiformes, Tytonidae. The transcript has 3 exons.